This 494-nucleotide ribosomal RNA is filed under the name Brachycephalus nodoterga. Its description in RNAcentral is "LSU rRNA". It matches the Rfam family "Bacterial large subunit ribosomal RNA", at positions 1848 to 2570 of the family's 2925-position model. The record is from RNAcentral. Lineage: Eukaryota; Metazoa; Chordata; Amphibia; Anura; Brachycephalidae.
AGAGGUCCAGCCUGCCCAGUGAGAAAUUCAACGGCCGCGGUAACCUGACCGUGCAAAGGUAGCAUAAUCACUUGUUUUUUAAAUAGAGACUAGUAUGAACGGCACCACGAGGAUAAAACUGUCUCCUUUCCAUAAUCAGUGAAACUAAUCUCCUAGUGAAAAAGCAAGGAUAUUACUGUAAGACGAAAAGACCCUAUGGAGCUUAAAACAAACAACUAAUGCUUUUUUCUCUUCAUUUCCCCACCAAGCACUGUAGUUACUAAUUUUUGGUUGGGGUGACCACGGAGAAAAAUUUAUCCUCCACAACGAAACUCUUUAAACAAAGCCACAGCUUUACCUAGCAAUAAAUUGGCGCACUGACCCAAUAACUUGAUCAGCGAACUAAGUUACCCUAGGGAUAACAGCGCAAUCCGCCUCGAGAGUCCUUAUUAACGGGCGGCUUUACGACCUCGAUGUUGGAUCAGGGUAUCCCAGUGGUGCAGCCGCUACUAAAG